This is a non-coding RNA of Oncorhynchus mykiss (rainbow trout), 2317 nucleotides long. NCBI's taxonomy places the organism in Eukaryota, Metazoa, Chordata, Actinopteri, Salmoniformes, Salmonidae. The record is from RefSeq and is a predicted model, not a curated record.
CCAGCCUGCUUCUCCAGGUUCAUCUCUCUGUAGGUGAUGGCUUUGUUAUGGAAAGUUUGGCUCCAUCUAGUAGGCAAUACCAGCGUGACCCCACCACCUCGUCCCUACUCACUGCGUGGCGUCAUUAGAAAGCGCCCUACAACGGCUAUUAUAGCGUUAUUUUUUUAUUUACCUCAAGCUGCGUCCCGCAAUGGAAGUAAACAGGGACGAAGCAGAGCGUUGCAUUGACAUUGCAACUGCUGCAUUAACAAAUAAUCAAGCAGAGAAGGCUGUUAGGUUUCUAGAAAAGGCACAGAAACUUUUUCCGACGGAUAAGGCGAGAGCACUGCUGGACUUGAUUGCAAAAAAUGGUUUCACCCCUGGUCACGACAACCAGUCAGGAGGAACCAGUGAUGGCACUGGGCCGAGGCAGCGAAGACCUGGGGAGGAGGACCAAGGAGAGAAGGCCUCGCAGACAGCCAAAUCCUACACCUCAGAUCAACUGGAUGCUGUCAAGAAAAUAAAACAGUGUAAAGACUUCUAUGAGAUUCUUGGAGUGAAGAAAGAUGCGUCCGAAGAUGAUCUCAAGAAGUCAUAUCGAAAAUUAGCGUUGAAAUUCCAUCCCGACAAAAACCACGCACCGGGUGCCACUGAGGCGUUUAAAGCUAUUGGAAAUGCCUAUGCCUGCCUGAGUAAUGCUGACAAGAGGAAACAGUAUGACCAGUGUGGUGAGGAGAAGAGGCAUCCGUCAAGACAGGGCCAGACCAACGGCGACUUCCAGGCCGAUAUUUCACCCGAGGACCUCUUCAAUAUGUUCUUCGGAGGGGGUUUUCCAGCAAGCAACGUUCAUGUAUACAGAAAUGGGCAUCAGAGGCCAGCGGGGCAACGGGGACAACAGAGAGAGGGAGGCUUUGCGCUCUUUGUCCAGCUGCUGCCCAUCGUCAUCCUAGUGGUUGUGUCAGCUCUCAGUCAGAUGAUGGUCUCCGCCGCCCCCUACAGCCUCAGCUUCAGGCCGUCUAUUGGACACACCCACAAGAGGUACACGGAGACCUUGAGGGUGCCGUACUAUGUGGGAGACCACUUCUCCAGGGAGUACAACGGACUGAACCUGAAGACUGUGGAGAGGAGUGUGGAGGAUGACUACAUCUCCAACCUCAGAAACAACUGCUGGAAGGAGAAACAACAGAGUUUCAAUUUCCUACAGUUUCAUGUUUUUGCUCUCAAUCAAGUCCACAACACUGCUUAAACCACAUCAGGAGAACACUUAAGAGGAGGGCCUGCUGUAUCGAGCUCGCUAUUUUGGAGACAAUGAGUUGUACCAGAGGGCUCAGAAGAUGGGCACACCGAGCUGCUCCAGGCUGUCUGACAUCUCCGUUUCCUUGGGUGGUUAAAUAUAAAGGAAGGCUGUUGAUCGCCACACUGAUAGGUAGUUAUAUCGAAACCGCAAAAACAAAACAAUUUUAUUGCCUGUAAAUACGUACGCUUUUCAACAUUCGGGACUGUGACUUCACUGCACACCAAAACUCGGACAGACUCUCUCUCUCUCCUUGAGUUGGAGAUCUCGUAUGGCGAAGAAGAGGAGAAUGACCUAAAGUCUUGUUGAGGAAGAAUGAAAGCCCUCUGUGUUGAUGAUCAUGGUGAUGUGUCAUGAAGUGACUGUGCUCUGUUACAAGCUGACUGUUUUACAAAUGCACUGUUAGGGACUCCUGCUUUUACCCUCUUACGUCCUAAAUGCCACACUAUUUACUAUAUAGUGCACUACUUUUUUUUUUUUUUUUUUAAUCCGGGCCCAUAGGGCUCUGGUCACAAGUAGUGCAGCAUAUAGAGAAUAGGGUGCUAUUUUAGGAUGCACCCUCAAGUCAGAUGAUGUAAGGGCGGUGUUAUAAUCAGGAAAUACUCCGAUCAGAAGUGGUUCGUUAUAGAUGUCCUCCUUUAGCAAGUGAUACUUCCGAGAUAUUCAUAUUUUAUUUGGAUCUGGUGAAAACAUCGAAGACAGUUGGUUUCCUGAUUUUAUACUUUAUACGUAAAUUAUGAUUUUCACUAUGCAGGGAUUAUAUAUAUUCUCCUAUCAGAGUCAGUAAGGUAAACAUACACCUCUCGGAGACUUGUACUGAGCAAUUUUAAUUUUUCAGACCUAUGUAUUUACAAUGAGUGAACCCAGUGACUGAGAAAGUAAUUUUAUUUAUUGUUGGAAUUCUAAAAUAUAAAAAUGUUUUUAAUCAAGAUUUUCUUCAUUAGAACACAACGGCUAUCUAAUAAAGUAGGUCUUGCUCACGAUGACACGUCCAUAUUAUGUUUUUACUCAAACAGGGAAAAUAAAUAUUCUACGUGCCCCAUC